CGCAGCCUGAUGCAGCGACGCCGCGUGAGGGAUGAAGGCCUUCGGGUUGUAAACCUCUUUCAGCAGGGAAGAAGCGAAAGUGACGGUACCUGCAGAAGAAGCGCCGGCUAACUACGUGCCAGCAGCCGCGGUAAUACGUAGGGCGCAAGCGUUGUCCGGAAUUAUUGGGCGUAAAGAGCUCGUAGGCGGUUUGUCGCGUCUGCUGUGAAAACCUGAGGCUCAACCUCGGGCUUGCAGUGGGUACGGGCAGACUAGAGUGCGGUAGGGGUGACUGGAAUUCCUGGUGUAGCGGUGGAAUGCGCAGAUAUCAGGAGGAACACCGAUGGCGAAGGCAGGUCACUGGGCCGCAACUGACGCUGAGGAGCGAAAGCAUGGGGAGCGAACAGGAUUAGAUACCCUGGUAGUCCAUGCCGUAAACGUUGGGCACUAGGUGUGGGGCUCAUUCCACGAGUUCCGUGCCGCAGCAAACGCAUUAAGUGCCCCGCCUGGGGAGUACGGCCGCAAGGCUAAA
RNAcentral lists this ribosomal RNA (511 nucleotides) under uncultured bacterium. RNAcentral's name for it is "bacterial SSU rRNA". It matches the Rfam family "Bacterial small subunit ribosomal RNA", at positions 376 to 898 of the family's 1533-position model. The record is from RNAcentral.